This 405-nucleotide ribosomal RNA is filed under the name uncultured Eubacteriales bacterium. RNAcentral describes it as "uncultured Clostridiales bacterium partial 16S ribosomal RNA". It matches the Rfam family "Bacterial small subunit ribosomal RNA", at positions 355 to 774 of the family's 1533-position model. Lineage: Bacteria; Bacillati; Bacillota; Clostridia; Eubacteriales. The record is from RNAcentral.
UGGGGAAUAUUAGGCAAUGGGCGAAAGCCUUACCUAGCAACGCCGCGUGAGGGAAGAAGGUCUUCGGAUUGUAAACCUUUGUCCUAUGGGAAGAAAAAAAUGACGGUACCAUGGGAGGAAGCCACGGCUAACUACGUGCCAGCAGCCGCGGUAAUACGUAGGUGGCAAGCGUUAUCCGGAAUUACUGGGUGUAAAGGGUGCGUAGGCGGGAUCGUAAGUCAGGUGUGAAAUACCGUUGCUUAACAACGGGGCUGCAUUUGAUACUGCGAUUCUUGAGUGGAGGAGAGGCAAGCGGAAUUCCGAGUGUAGCGGUGAAAUGCGUAGAUAUUCGGAGGAACACCGGUGGCGAAGGCGGCUUGCUGGACUCUAACUGACGCUGAGGCACGAAAGUGUGGGGAGCAAACA